GGCGAACGCUGGCGGCGUGCUUAACACAUGCAAGUCGAACGGAAAGGCCCUGCUUUUGUGGGGUGCUCGAGUGGCGAACGGGUGAGUAACACGUGAGUAACCUGCCCUUGACUUUGGGAUAACUUCAGGAAACUGGGGCUAAUACCGGAUAGGAGCUCCUGCUGCAUGGUGGGGGUUGGAAAGUUUCGGCGGUUGGGGAUGGACUCGCGGCUUAUCAGCUUGUUGGUGGGGUAGUGGCUUACCAAGGCUUUGACGGGUAGCCGGCCUGAGAGGGUGACCGGCCACAUUGGGACUGAGAUACGGCCCAGACUCCUACGGGAGGCAGCAGUGGGGAAUAUUGCACAAUGGGCGGAAGCCUGAUGCAGCAACGCCGCGUGCGGGAUGACGGCCUUCGGGUGGUAAACCGCUUUCGCCUGUGACGAAGCGUGAGUGACGGUAAUGGGUAAAGAAGCACCGGCUAACUACGU
RNAcentral lists this ribosomal RNA (467 nucleotides) under uncultured bacterium. Its description in RNAcentral is "partial 16S ribosomal RNA". It matches the Rfam family "Bacterial small subunit ribosomal RNA", at positions 28 to 506 of the family's 1533-position model. The record is from RNAcentral.